GAAAAACGUCGCCAGAGAAUGCGAGGGUGUUAUCACCAGCAGGCUAGACCUGUGGUAGUCGCACUGGGAGUUUUUCUUUUU
Molecule: non-coding RNA, 81 nt
Submitted as: unclassified sequences
Source: Rfam